GAGGACCCCUAAGACUCUGUUUCUAUAUGUAACUUCUGAGUAAAACCAUANAUAAGCUCAAANCUUUCAACAACGGAUCUCUUGGUUCUGGCAUCGAUGAAGAACGCAGCAAAAUGCGAUAAGUAAUGUGAAUUGCANAAUUNANUGAAUCAUCGAAUCUUUGAACGCNCAUUGCGCCCGCCAGUAUUCUGGCGGGCAUGCCUGUUCGAGCGUCAUUUCAACCCUCAAGCACAGCUUGGUGUUGGGACUCGCGUUAAUUCGCGUUCCUCAAAUUGAUUGGCGGUCACGUCGAGCUUCCAUAGCGUAGUAGUAAAACCCUCGUUACUGGUAAUCGUCGCGGCCACGCCGUUAAACCCCAACUUCUGAAUGUUGACCUCGGAUCAGGUAGGAAUACCCGCUGAACUUAAGCAUAUCAAUAAGCGGAGGAA
This 428-nucleotide ribosomal RNA is filed under the name Fusarium oxysporum. RNAcentral describes it as "eukaryotic LSU rRNA". The stretch from base 62 to 215 matches the Rfam family "5.8S ribosomal RNA". The record is from RNAcentral. Lineage: Eukaryota; Fungi; Ascomycota; Sordariomycetes; Hypocreales; Nectriaceae.